GUGGGGGCUCUGAGGAGCUCCCUGGGGGAAGGAGGAAGGAUUCAGGAGUCCCUGUGGCAGGAGGAGAGCCAAGCCCUCGGUGAUGCUGCGUGCUGUCUGCACUGGGGCACAGCACCCCUUGCUGCCUCAGCUGCUGCUGUGUAUUCACCUGACGAGGGCCAAAAAGUGAUCGAAGUCCUACAGAAACUGCACGGAGCAAUUCAGCUCCCGUGUUCAGACCCACUGCUCUCACUGAUGUCUUCGGGCCAUGCCAAGGACCUCAGCUCAGCUCUGAGUAAGAGCGGGGACCAUUUGCUCUUCUGCUCGUGUCUCUGUGAUUGUCCAUGCGUUUUGAGCUAUCUCCAGAUAGCAUUAAAGGGCUUGCUAAUGUGUUGGGAAAGCCUAUUUCUCUUUAAAAAAAAAAAAAUUAAAACCCCCACUCAUUUAAAAGUGACAUUUUGUGUUCAUAUGUGCCAACAUGAUCCUUGAUCUUACACCAGGACUUAGACGACUUCUAUGGAACCUGCUCACACAACCUGUCUGCACAUACGAGGCGCACAUUCUGCAGCUCCUUGAUGCUCCUCUUGUGGUAGAAAGAAAAAAUGAGUCACUCCUGCUUCCUCUCCUCCUGCACAGUGAGCAGGCUGGGAAAUAGGGUGGGCAUCCCACAUUUCUGAGACAGGAAACCAAAUUUUUGCUUCACCGUUACGUGUGAUGUGAGUCAAGGCUGGCCCCACGGGAAGGGGCAGCACUGUCGCUUCUGAGGGGUGUUCCUCUGCGGAAAGGCUGUGAGCCCUCUUUGCCUUUGAGGACACCCCAGAAAGCUGUGCCAAAGCAGCACAGAGGAACGUGAUCUCCAAAGAAGGCUGGGAUGAGUUGGUGUGGAGGGCAAGAUGAGAUUAUCCAACCAAUUUCUCUAAGCAAACGCUUGUCUUCCUUCUUCCUCACCUCUCAUGGCCCCUUGGUUUGGUGGUACUUAAAUGCCUCUGCACAAUUUGAGCUCCCAUGGCACUUCCAUUGGGGAAAGAACCCAAAAGAGCACGAAGGCUUCUUACAUUCUUGAGCAAACUG
Molecule: long non-coding RNA, 1050 nt
Filed under: Anser brachyrhynchus (Pink-footed goose)
Lineage: Eukaryota; Metazoa; Chordata; Aves; Anseriformes; Anatidae
Description: lncRNA (ENSABRG00000005033.1)
Source: RNAcentral